This 553-nucleotide unclassified non-coding RNA is filed under the name Chaetomium globosum. RNAcentral's name for it is "sequence contains 18S rRNA gene, ITS1, 5.8S rRNA gene, ITS2, 28S rRNA gene". The stretch from base 221 to 374 matches the Rfam family "5.8S ribosomal RNA". Lineage: Eukaryota; Fungi; Ascomycota; Sordariomycetes; Sordariales; Chaetomiaceae. The record is from RNAcentral.
AGUCGUAACAAGGUCUCCGUUGGUGAACCAGCGGAGGGAUCAUUACAGAGUUGCAAAACUCCCUAAACCAUUGUGAACGUUACCUAUACCGUUGCUUCGGCGGGCGGCCCCGGGGUUUACCCCCCGGGCGCCCCUGGGCCCCACCGCGGGCGCCCGCCGGAGGUCACCAAACUCUUGAUAAUUUAUGGCCUCUCUGAGUCUUCUGUACUGAAUAAGUCAAAACUUUCAACAACGGAUCUCUUGGUUCUGGCAUCGAUGAAGAACGCAGCGAAAUGCGAUAAGUAAUGUGAAUUGCAGAAUUCAGUGAAUCAUCGAAUCUUUGAACGCACAUUGCGCCCGCCAGCAUUCUGGCGGGCAUGCCUGUUCGAGCGUCAUUUCAACCAUCAAGCCCCCGGGCUUGUGUUGGGGACCUGCGGCUGCCGCAGGCCCUGAAAAGCAGUGGCGGGCUCGCUGUCGCACCGAGCGUAGUAGCAUACAUCUCGCUCUGGUCGCGCCGCGGGUUCCGGCCGUUAAACCACCUUUUAACCCAAGGUUGACCUCGGAUCAGGUAGGA